AGUGAACGCUGGCGGUAGGCCUAACACAUGCAAGUCGAACGGCAGCACAGUAGGAGCUUGCUCUUACGGGUGGCGAGUGGCGGACGGGUGAGGAAUACAUCGGAAUCUACUUUUUCGUGGGGGAUAACGUAGGGAAACUUACGCUAAUACCGCAUACGACCUACGGGUGAAAGCAGGGGAUCUUCGGACCUUGCGCGAUUGAAUGAGCCGAUGUCGGAUUAGCUAGUUGGCGGGGUAAAGGCCCACCAAGGCGACGAUCCGUAGCUGGUCUGAGAGGAUGAUCAGCCACACUGGAACUGAGACACGGUCCAGACUCCUACGGGAGGCAGCAGUGGGGAAUAUUGGACAAAGGGCGCAAGCCUGAUCCAGCCAUACCGCGUGGGUGAAGAAGGCCUUCGGGUUGUAAAGCCCUUUUGUUGGGAAAGAAAAGCAGCAGGUUAAUACCCCGCUGUUCUGACGGUACCCAAAGAAUAAGCACCGGCUAACUUCGUG
RNAcentral lists this ribosomal RNA (492 nucleotides) under uncultured bacterium. Its description in RNAcentral is "partial 16S ribosomal RNA". It matches the Rfam family "Bacterial small subunit ribosomal RNA", at positions 29 to 507 of the family's 1533-position model. The record is from RNAcentral.